RNAcentral lists this ribosomal RNA (50 nucleotides) under Oscillibacter valericigenes. Its description in RNAcentral is "partial 23S ribosomal RNA". Lineage: Bacteria; Bacillati; Bacillota; Clostridia; Eubacteriales; Oscillospiraceae. The record is from RNAcentral.
GCAGUAAUGUAUGGAGCUGACCGGUACUAAUCGCCCGAGGGCUUGACCUA